ACUUGUCUUUUAAAUAAGGACUAGUAUGAACGGCAAGACGAAAGCUUAACUGUCUCCUUUACCCAGUCAAUGAAACUGAUCCCCCAGUACAAAAGCUGGAAUUCAAUAAUAAGACGAGAAGACCCUAUGGAACUUUAAGCACGCACCAACCAAUGUUUAACCACAAAAGGCUUGACACGCUGCUUUUGGUUGGGGUAACCACGGAGAAAAACUAUCCUCCAAGAAAUCAAACCAAGUAACACAAAACAAAGUUCCAUCACUUUUCCCAUCGACCCAGUACAACUGAUCAACGAACCAAGCUACCCUAGGGAUAACAGCGCCAUCUUCUUCAAGAGUCCAUAUCGCCAAGAAGGUUUA
This 357-nucleotide ribosomal RNA is filed under the name Luetkenotyphlus brasiliensis. RNAcentral's name for it is "partial 16S ribosomal RNA". It matches the Rfam family "Bacterial large subunit ribosomal RNA", at positions 1967 to 2520 of the family's 2925-position model. The record is from RNAcentral. Lineage: Eukaryota; Metazoa; Chordata; Amphibia; Gymnophiona; Siphonopidae.